UGAUUCACCCGGCCAAGCAGCUGCACUGCGUCCAUGACGUGCACAGGUUUCAGGAGGCCUCAUAACCCACUGAGGGUCCCUGCAGCACGCUGGUUAGAGUCUCGUGACUCAAAGUACUUAUCCCUGUUCUCUUUGAGUGUUUGUUUGUUGUGAAUUACACGCAGACAGAUUUCAGAUUUUCUAUUUUUGGUAUGACAUCUUUGCUUUUAAUUGCUAAAAGAUCAGAGGCAAACAGAAAAUGAGGAGGGGGAUGACAUGCAGCACAUUUCCUCAGUCUGAUUCAAACCAGGGACAUUGUUGUUUUCAUGGUAGGAGUCCUAGGUGUGAAGGAAAAUAGUGACACACUCUUAACCAAGAUAUAAAACAAAUAUUUGAUAACUUUCCAACGUUUCGACAUGACAGUCUUCUUUAGGGUGUUGAGGGACGAAAACACAGACAUUUAAUAAGACACAGGUGUGCUCUAUCAAGGGGAGUGUCCUCAAUGACAUUUACAUCAUGUAGCUCCCUGAUUCAUGUCAUUUAAAAAAGCAGUUUGAUCAAAGCCUUAGUUUAUACUGUGUAUCAAGGAACAUGUCUUUGUCAAUAUUAAAAGACAGCUGAACCUAAAGAUAUAAUAUGUAACUUUUCCACAUUAAUAUGUCUAAAAACAACUAGAACUGUGUUAUGUGUUGUGUUGAGUCGUGUACUUAUGUUCUCCAACAUGUUUCCUACUAUUUUAAAACCUAGAGAAAUACAUAAUUUAAACAAGGUGAUGGUGUAUUUCAUUCAGUCUUUCAGGUCUUACAAUCUUUCUUCUUUUUGAUUGAUCUGUUUUUAAUCUUUUUUGUAAUCUGUUUUUAUUACAUUAGUGUGGUAUUGGUUGGUUAGUAUAGGCUGAAAUAUCAAUGAUUUUGUGGGUGUCUAAUUAAAUGCUGAACCUUGGUGACAGCACAAACUGUAGGAUGGAUUUGACUUUAUGCUUCUGAAAGAAUCAACUUGAUCUUUUAUCUAUCAUAUUCAAUGACAAAACUGUUGCUUAGUGCAACACAAUUGUUUCUGUUUGUGUUCAUUCAUAUAUGAGAAAUAUAGAGAUCUAGAUGAUAGUAAUAACUUGGCUUAACUGGUUUCUUGUUAUUUACUCAACAAUUGUUUUGUUUUAAUCUACGCUGAUUCUAAAUGCAUGCAAUGUAUUUGAUAUGGUGUACUGUCCAAUAAACCUCAAUAAAAUACACGUUUGAGUCAAA
Long non-coding RNA from Cottoperca gobio, 1223 nucleotides. RefSeq lists it as uncharacterized. NCBI's taxonomy places the organism in Eukaryota, Metazoa, Chordata, Actinopteri, Perciformes, Bovichtidae. The transcript is spliced from 2 exons. The record is from RefSeq and is a predicted model, not a curated record.